This 4345-nucleotide ribosomal RNA is filed under the name Triticum aestivum (bread wheat). Its description in RNAcentral is "partial small subunit ribosomal RNA". The record is from RNAcentral. Lineage: Eukaryota; Viridiplantae; Streptophyta; Magnoliopsida; Poales; Poaceae.
CACUGCGUUUUGAUUUCUUUCUUCUUAGAUCCGUUCUGAUGUUCACCAAGAGUAACAAGAUCAUCCAUCAAGGACAGCCCUGAUUACCAAGAUCAAAAACAACCCUCUUCACCCAUUGAUUUGGUAUUACCAGAGAGCAUCUCAUGGAGAAGAACAAAUCCUGGUGUUUCAACCUACCCACAGCCGAUCAAUUGAGCGAGUGGAUGUUAACAGAGAAAUACAUGAUUGAUGAUAUUUCUUCUUCACAAGGUUUUAUAAGCGCAGUAGAACACAAGACGAGAGAGGUUGCGCGGCUGUGUUCCCACUACAUACUAGCACGGUGGGAUGGAUGGCCUAUGGAUGAGCACCACGUCACGCCACUCAUUUCAGAACAUCUUCAUCUGCCAUAUCAACCAUAUCUGUAUGCUCCAUAUGAUAAUGAAUCCCGGUUGGUGCUAGAUUUAAUGAAUGAGCCAACCACAGCUUAUGCACGUGUGGUUCUGUCCAGUGGAGUGACCAUGGCAGUAGAUGGGACUGAAGUUCUAUGUUACCCUGUAAAAAAUGUAGGUGUGCCAAUGGAAGCAAUACCUAAGGAAGUAAUAACCCCUAAAGAAGCUAGAGCAAGAAACUAAGGAUACUGAUAUCUUGGCAGCAUUCCGAGUAAGUCCUCAGCCUGGGGUUCCGCCCCAAGAAGCAGGGGAUGUACGAUUUUCAGAUUGAAGAAAUGAUGGAGACAAUGACUGAACAUCUAAAGGUACAGAUCUAUGGUUUGCCAUUACAUCUUUGGACUAGAAGAGCAAUUGAACGUGCCCUGCUACCACAUUGCCUUGUUGAGAAUGUUAGUCAAGCCAAUCUCAUCUUUCGCAAGCUUCGAUCAGUAAGUUGCACGGCAUGCCUGUUAGAACUGUUGUGCCAUUCCCAUGGUAUAUACUCAUUCAUGUCUCCAGCAAGUAUGACAAAGGAAGAAACCAAAGCAGUGGCCACAGGAACACAGAGACUUUUUGUAUUGGUGUUGACAGAGUUAAUAUUGGAGCUCAUCAUAACAAGUCUCUUCAAAGAACACACAGGAGGAUUCCUUCUUUCUUGCAGGCACUAAAGAGAGGAAUGGUUUCCCAUUCAUAUUUAAAUGAUGUUGACAUACCAGCUGACCAAAUGCGGAUAUUGGAAUCAUCAUUCCUCCUGACGGCUUGCGAUGAGGGAAGAAUUAUCACAGAGGACAAGUUAACACGCUGUUUGCAGCAAAUGCAGAUUGAAUGUCCUGGAAAGGUCAUAGUCAAGCAAGUUGGCAGGUCCAAAUACCUUAUAUAUUUCCAAGGGCCAGUAACCACAACUUUGUUUCACACGUUGUCUGCUGAUGCUGCUGGAAUCCAGCUACCUCUUGGUAAGUUCUUAGUUCAGAAAUGGUCGACGUCUGUUGGAGGUGUAUCUUCUACCCUCUCUCGAAAAGAACAGAUAAGGAUUACAGGACUGCCAACUGAAUUUUACAGCCCGUCUAUAAUUGAAGACAUCCUGAGCCCCCAGUGCAUGUUAGAAAACAACAGCCAUCAGGUUGGUGAGUCUCCUGAUGUUUGGUUCUAUGACUGUGCCAUAUGGACAAAUGAAAACAAAAUUAUUUCAGAGGACAUCUAUUUGGGCUGCUCCAAAUGGAUUAACAGUGGAACAAUCAACUGUUAAAGAUCUUCAGGUGCCUCUGGAGUUGUACAAUGCAAGAAUUACCAGCUCAUAACACCAUAUUUCAAGAGCUGGGAUCACAGUGCUGACAUAUCUACAUUAGUUGGGCAGCUUUCACUAUUUAGGUGUUUCUGUAAAUAAGUUUAAGUCAAAUUACUAUAUCUACACUUAUGCACCCUGCAGUCUCCCGCUCGCUACCUAUUACUUCUCCCUCGCGUAUCUUUUUGUUCUUGUAUUUUUGAUUAUGCCGUCUUAAGAGGUGUCCUCCAACGGAUAACUCUCCAUUAUCAGUCUUCCUUAUUAACUAAUCAGCCCAUUUUUUAAAACAAAUGUUGUGUUGUUUAAAAUUCACACACAUGCUACUGGAUUUUACUUACAUUCGUUUCAACCCCUUCCAAUAUAAUUAUUUCUGCCCUAAUAUAUGCCUACUGCAAUGUAUUCUGCACAGCCAGGUUGAUUGGACCUAGGUUGUUUCUUCUAUCUCCAUGUUAAUUGCAUUAGGAAUUACAAAAUGAGGAUGCACCUGCCGGUUGAUUACUAAGAAAGCCUUUUAUUUUCCACAGGCUUUAUUUAGAUUCUUGAUGCCUCCAUAAAAUUCCUGAUCCAGAAAAAGCUAGGUAAAGAUGAAACAAAAUGUUGAUUGCUUCCUUUUUAGUUCUCUUAGUUUAGCCUCGCCACAAAAGCCCUGUCCCACAGCUACAUGGCUUUAAAAAUUAGACCACCUGGCUAUAAUUCCAAAAAAACAAAUAAGGUAACAUAAAUUAUUUUAUUAUUCGAUUUGCUUUUUAUUAAAAAUAAACUACCACGUAGAUACAUGAUACUAAUUACCCAUAAAAAUAUAGCACUGUAUAUCAGUAAGCCCAUAUAAGGUUUGUUUUAGAAGAAGGAUAAACAAGCAAAGUAACAAUAUUAACGGACAUUUUCCAUCCUCAGAACCAACCACAAAAACAGGCCCAUGACAAAGCAAUUUUAGAAGCCCAUGCCACCAGGGCCCAUACACAUCUUGCUCAGGCUCCGCACAGUAUAUAAAGAGCAAGAUGUUAUGCUUUUACCUAAAUCCCCAAUCCGAAACCCUGGCUCCUCUCUCUGCUGUGCGCCCCCCCACACCAGCGGCUACCACACCGAAUCCUCAGCGCCUGUGGUAACAAAGCGCAUGAACUACAUGUACAUUGGAGCUGUUUGUGAUGAGGGAUCUCCAGGCUCGGCAUCAUCAAGAACAAGAACCACUGAGCCAAAGGUAAAAACCUGAGUCUCUGCUGUAACUGAUUUGUCACAAUAAAAUAUUUCUAUCGAUUGCAUAACCAAGGCAGAUGCUAACAUACAAAACGGAGAACUUAAGAUGCUUUCCACACGUUAUGAUUUUUUUAUAGAUAAUCCCCUCAAUGUUGCCAUGCGCUGUCAUGCUCAAUGUCUUAUUAAUUCACUGGUCCACCUAAGUAUGCCUCGGAACGCCUGCUUAAUACCUGUUUCUCGGUCAAUAUCAGCGACACAAUCUUUAGUUAAUUAUAACUGCAGUACCUACCCUGCUCUCAUAAUAAUACAGUCCCUCGUUGCUAGCUUCGAAACAUGAUAGGGCCCUAUUCUUCCCUACUAUGAAAGCCGUAGACGCAGACAAGUAGGAAAAACCAGAUUGCUUGCUAUCCUGUCGGCUGUACUUGCUAUUUACCUCGUAUAUUUUCCUGACUCUGAUGAAACGCUACUUUAUGAUCUUCCAACUGCUGAACUAAGAUCCCGUAAAAAAAAUUCAGGACAACAUGGGCACUCAAAAGUGUCAGUACGUUGUUGAUGCUACUGGAUUUGAUAAAGUUGCGGGUCUGAGGUCAACAAGAAAAAUAUAAUGCCAUCAUCUUAUGCGGGCAAACUUCGCUCGAUGACUGAAAACUUCCACGAUUCUAUAGCUGUUUCACGUGUCCAUGGCUCACCUGAUAUAUUCACAACCUUCACUUACGAUCCAAACUGGCCUGAGAUAGUUGAGGGUCUUGAGCAUGGACAACAGGCAAUCAAUGAAGCUAAUUUUGCUGCUCAAGUGUAUCAGAUGAAGUUACUUGGGUACCUGCAAGAAAUAAAGACCGGGAAAGUGUUUGGGCCUGUAGUUGUAGUCCUCCACUCCGUGGAGUUCCAGAAGAGGAGUCUGCCCCAUGCACAUAUCCUUGUUUGGCAGAAAAAAGAUAAUGGCCAAGGAUCUGCGUCCACUGAUGUUGAUGCCGAUGCUCCUGCGAUUGCAGCUGUUAACACCAUGGAGACUGCACUUCUGCAGACAUAAAAGCUUAUGAGAGAUGUUGCUGCUGCUGCACAGAACAUUUCGUCAAAAAUGUUUCGUUGCUAAGUGAUCUACACUUUCGGAUGAACAUGCAUGAAAGGUUCUUUUGGUCCUUGGUUCUUUCUCUCUGGUUACUUUGGAUCUAGCAACUAAAGCGUUGCCCACAAGGACAAGUGAAGCCUGCUUUGCAGUUACUGUUUUCGCACAAUUGUCCAAGUAUCCAGAAUGGCCUAUUACUAUGUUCGUCGCAUAUUUGUAAACCGCAUGUUUGGCAACCCCUGUUCAUGCGUUUCCUUGUUUAAGAUCUCAACCAGCCUAUUUCCAUGUUCUAUGGAUAUCGUUCUUAGCCCUUUGUUAAUGUACCCUAUGUCCCUCAUGACUAUUUGAACCUACUACAAAUAUUUAUUAAGCCAACCUAUCUAACGUAUGUUUGAU